Molecule: ribosomal RNA, 618 nt
Filed under: uncultured bacterium
Lineage: Bacteria
Description: bacterial SSU rRNA
Rfam family: Bacterial small subunit ribosomal RNA
Source: RNAcentral
GAACACCGGUGGCGAAGGCGGCUUACUGGACUGUAACUGACGCUGAGUCACGAAAGCGUGGGUAGCAAACAGGAUUAGAUACCCUGGUAGUCCACGCUGUAAACGAUGAGUGCUAGGUGUUGGGUAGCGAUAUUCAGUGCCGGAGUAAACACAAUAAGCACUCCGCCUGGGGAGUACGGUCGCAAGACUGAAACUCAAAGGAAUUGACGGGGGCCCGCACAAGCAGCGGAGCAUGUGGUUUAAUUCGAAGCAACGCGAAGAACCUUACCUAGACUUGACAUCUCCUGCAUUACCCNUAAUNGGGGAAGUCCCUUCGGGGACAGGAAGACAGGUGGUGCAUGGUUGUCGUCAGCUCGUGUCGUGAGAUGUUGGGUUAAGUCCCGCAACGAGCGCAACCCCUAUUGUUAGUUGCUACCAUUAAGUUGAGCACUCUAGCGAGACUGCCCGGGUUAACCGGGAGGAAGGUGGGAUGACGUCAAAUCAUCAUGCCCCUUAUGUCUAGGGCUACACACGUGCUACAAUGGCAAGUACAACGAGAUGCAAGACCGCGAGGUGGAGCUAACCUAUAAAACUUGUCUCAGUUCGGAUUGUAGGCUGAAACUCGCCUACAUGAAGCUG